Molecule: small nucleolar RNA, 128 nt
Organism: Perognathus longimembris pacificus (Pacific pocket mouse)
Lineage: Eukaryota; Metazoa; Chordata; Mammalia; Rodentia; Heteromyidae
Product: small nucleolar RNA SNORA40
Exons: 1
Source: RefSeq, a predicted model, not a curated record
UGUGUGUAUGCACGGGUGUGUUUAACUUGUUAAAAAGCCUUAAAAGUAGGAGCUAGCAGUAAAUCCUCUUUUGCAACCCAGAAUUCAUACUUGAGUAUGAAUUUUUGGUACAUGUAAGAAAUAUUAUU